UCCCCUGUGGUCGAGUGGCCAAGACUCCGCACUCCCAAUGCAGGUGGCCCAGGUUCCAUCCCUGGUAUAGGAA
RNAcentral lists this transfer RNA (73 nucleotides) under Bos taurus (domestic cattle). It matches the Rfam family "tRNA". From Rfam's summary of the family: Transfer RNA (tRNA) molecules are approximately 80 nucleotides in length. Lineage: Eukaryota; Metazoa; Chordata; Mammalia; Artiodactyla; Bovidae. The record is from Rfam by way of RNAcentral. RNAcentral also lists the same sequence under 1 other name.